AUUGAACGCUGGCGGCAGGCCUAACACAUGCAAGUCGAGCGGAAGAAGGGUGCUUGUUCCUGGUUCCAGCGGCGGACGGGUGUGUAAUGCCUAGGAAUCUGCCUCGUAGUGGGGGAUAACGUCCGGAAACGGGCGCUAAUACUGCAUACGUCCAGCGGGUGCAAGAGGGGGAUCUUCGGACCUCACGCUCUCAGAUGAGCCUAGGUCGGAUUAGUUAGUUGGUGGGGUAAAGGCCUACCAAGGCGACGAUCCGUAACUGGCCUGAGUGGAGGAUCAGUCACACGGGAACUGGGACACGGUCCAGACGCCUACGGGAGGCAGCAGUGGGGAAUAUGAGACAAUGGGCGAAAGCCUGAUCCAGCCAGGCCGCGUGUGUGAAGAAGGUCUUCGGAUUGUAAAGCACGUUAUGGGGGGAGGAAGGGCAGUAGGUUAAUACCUUGCUGGAUUGACGUUACCGGCAGAAGAAGCACCGGCUAACUACGUG
Molecule: ribosomal RNA, 484 nt
Filed under: uncultured bacterium
Lineage: Bacteria
Description: partial 16S ribosomal RNA
Rfam family: Bacterial small subunit ribosomal RNA
Source: RNAcentral